This 484-nucleotide ribosomal RNA is filed under the name uncultured bacterium. Its description in RNAcentral is "partial 16S ribosomal RNA". It matches the Rfam family "Bacterial small subunit ribosomal RNA", at positions 30 to 507 of the family's 1533-position model. The record is from RNAcentral.
AUUGAACGCUGGCGGCAGGCCUAACACAUGCAAGUCGAGCGGAUGAAGGGAGCUUGCUCCUGGAUUCAGCGGCGGACGGGUGAGUAAUGCCUAGGAAUCUGCCUGGUAGUGGGGGAUAACGUCCGGAAACGGGCGCUAAUACCGCAUACGUCCUGAGGGAGAAAGUGGGGGAUCUUCGGACCUCACGCUAUCAGAUGAGCCUAGGUCGGAUUAGCUAGUUGGUGGGGUAAAGGCCUACCAAGGCGACGAUCCGUAACUGGUCUGAGAGGAUGAUCAGUCACAAUGGAACUGAGACACGGUCCCGACUCCCACGGGAGGCCGGCGGUGGGAAUUUUUGAAAAUGGGCGAAAGGCUGAUCCAGGCAAGGCGCGGGGUUGAAGGAGGUUUUCGGAUUUGAAAGCCACUUAAGUUGGGAGGAAGGGCAGUAAGUUAAUACCUUGCUGUUUUGACGUUACCAACAGAAUAAGCACCGGCUAACUUCGUG